GUAGUGGUGGCCAUGCAGGGUCAGGGUGACCAGACAUCCUCUUUUUCUAGGACACAUUCUACAUUUCAGCCUUCUGUCCAGGAGGAAUUCCAAAAUAACCUCCAUUUUGAGCAGGAGUAAGAAGCAUGAAUUUAUAUUUUGAUCAGUGUUUUUAGCUUUUAUUUGGUAAUGUCCUACAUUUUUCUGGAAUAUCCUAAUUUUUGGUGCCCUGUCCUCCUUUGGUGUUAGGAUAUUGGUCACCCUAUACUGGGUGGCACACAUUUGAAUCAACCACUCAGUGUCACAAUGGAGGGCUCUGAUGCAUUGUGAAUUCUCAUAAAAGAUCUGGAGCAAAAGGUUAAAGUCCAAAGGUGAUGAAUAACUGUCCUUCUCUGUGGCCCUUAAAGCAGAGGUCUUGCCUGCCUAGAACAGUUUCACAAUCCUUUUAAGACCUGUGUUGCUCUGAAGACUUUUGAGCCCAGCUGAUAUACUCUAUAUUGGAUUGUCGGUUGCAUAGAAGAAGUAUACAAAGUCCCCAUAUGGCUUGCCAGAUGCUGAUUUAGGCUGUUAUUGUGGAUGUUUAAAAAGGGAUUAGUUAGGAAGCCCACCAGCACUGAAGAAAGAAAGACCAAGAGAGAGAAUCACAAGAAA
Long non-coding RNA from Sceloporus undulatus (fence lizard), 630 nucleotides. RefSeq lists it as uncharacterized. The record is from RefSeq and is a predicted model, not a curated record. Lineage: Eukaryota; Metazoa; Chordata; Lepidosauria; Squamata; Phrynosomatidae. The transcript is spliced from 4 exons.